AGCGAACGCUGGCGGCAGGCUUAACACAUGCAAGUCGAGCGGGCGUAGCAAUACGUCAGCGGCAGACGGGUGAGUAACGCGUGGGAACGUACCUUUUGGUUCGGAACAACACAGGGAAACUUGUGCUAAUACCGGAUAAGCCCUUACGGGGAAAGAUUUAUCGCCGAAAGAUCGGCCCGCGUCUGAUUAGCUAGUUGGUAGGGUAAUGGCCUACCAAGGCGACUAUCAGUAGCUGGUCUGAGAGGAUGAUCAGCCACAUUGGGACUGAGACACGGCCCAAACUCCCACGGGAGGCAGCUGUGGGGAAUAUUGGACAAUGGGGGCAACCCUGAUCCAGCCAUGCCGCGUGAGUGAUGAAGGCCCUAGGGUUGUAAAGCUCUUUUGUGCGGGAAGAUAAUGACGGUACCGCAAGAAUAAGCCCCGGCUAACUUCGUGCCAGCCGCCGCCGUAA
This 451-nucleotide ribosomal RNA is filed under the name uncultured bacterium. RNAcentral describes it as "partial 16S ribosomal RNA". It matches the Rfam family "Bacterial small subunit ribosomal RNA", at positions 29 to 523 of the family's 1533-position model. The record is from RNAcentral.